GACGAACGCUGGCGGCGUGCUUAACACAUGCAAGUCGAACGGAAAGGCCCUGCUUUUGUGGGGUGCUCGAGUGGCGAACGGGUGAGUAACACGUGAGUAACCUGCCCUUGACUUUGGGAUAACUUCAGGAAACUGGGGCUAAUACCGGAUAGGAGCUCCUGCUGCAUUGUGGUGUUUGGAAAGUUUCGGCGGUUGGGGAUGUACUCGCGGCUUAUCAGCUUGUUGGUGGGGUAGUGGCUUACCAAGGCUUUGACGGGUAGCCGGCCUGAGAGGGUGACCGGCCACAUUGGGACUGAGAUACGGCCCAGACUCCUACGGGAGGCAGCAGUGGGGAAUAUUGCACAAUGGGCGGAAGCCUGAUGCAGCAACGCCGCGUGCGGGAUGACGGCCUUCGGGUUGUAAACCGCUUUCGCCUGUGACGAAGAGUGAGUGACGGUAAUGGGUAAAGAAGCACCGGCUAACUACGUG
Molecule: ribosomal RNA, 468 nt
Filed under: uncultured bacterium
Lineage: Bacteria
Description: partial 16S ribosomal RNA
Rfam family: Bacterial small subunit ribosomal RNA
Source: RNAcentral